UACGUAGGGUGCGAGCGUUAAUCGGAAUUACUGGGCGUAAAGCGUGCGCAGGCGGUUUUGCAAGUCUGAUGUGAAAUCCCGGGGCUCAACCCCGGAACUGCAUUGGAUACUGCCUUGCUUGAGUACUGGAGAGGGAACUGGAAUUUACGGUGUAGCAGUGAAAUGCGUAGAGAUCGUAAGGAAGGCCAGUGGCGAAGGCGAGUUCCUGGACAGUGACUGACGCUGAGGCACGAAGGCCAGGGGAGCAAACGGG
RNAcentral lists this ribosomal RNA (253 nucleotides) under uncultured bacterium. RNAcentral describes it as "partial 16S ribosomal RNA". It matches the Rfam family "Bacterial small subunit ribosomal RNA", at positions 524 to 776 of the family's 1533-position model. The record is from RNAcentral.